GACGAACGCUGGCGGCGUGCCUAAUACAUGCAAGUCGAGCGCAGGAAACUGACGGAACUCUUCGGAGGGAAGGCAGUGGAAUGAGCGGCGGACGGGUGAGUAACACGUAAGGAACCUGCCUCAAGGAUUGGGAUAACUCCGAGAAGUCGGAGCAAAUACCGGAUAGUUCAUCGGACCGCAUGGUCCGCUGAUGAAAGGAGCUACGGCGUCACCUUGAGAUGGCCUUGCGGUGCAUUAGCUAGUUGGUGGGGUAACGGCCCACCAAGGCGACGAUGCAUAGCCGACCUGAGAGGGUGAUCGGCCACACUGGGACUGAGACACGGCCCAGACUCCUACGGGAGGCAGCAGUAGGGAAUCUUCCACAAUGGACGAAAGUCUGAUGGAGCAACGCCGCGUGAGUGAUGAAGGUUUUCGGAUCGUAAAACUCUGUUGUAAGGGAAGAACACGUACGAGAGGGAAUGCUCGUACCUUGACGGUACCUUACGAGAAAGCCACGGCUAACUACGUGCCAGCAGCCGCCGUAA
RNAcentral lists this ribosomal RNA (524 nucleotides) under uncultured bacterium. Its description in RNAcentral is "partial 16S ribosomal RNA". It matches the Rfam family "Bacterial small subunit ribosomal RNA", at positions 28 to 523 of the family's 1533-position model. The record is from RNAcentral.